RNAcentral lists this transfer RNA (65 nucleotides) under Gondogeneia antarctica. RNAcentral describes it as "tRNA-Leu". The record is from RNAcentral. Lineage: Eukaryota; Metazoa; Arthropoda; Malacostraca; Amphipoda; Pontogeneiidae.
UAUUAUCUAGGCGGGUAUUAGCGCGUUAGGUUUAGAACCUAAAUUUGGUGUAAACCAGAUAAUAA